RNAcentral lists this ribosomal RNA (468 nucleotides) under uncultured bacterium. Its description in RNAcentral is "partial 16S ribosomal RNA". It matches the Rfam family "Bacterial small subunit ribosomal RNA", at positions 28 to 507 of the family's 1533-position model. The record is from RNAcentral.
GACGAACGCUGGCGGCGUGCUUAACACAUGCAAGUCGAACGGAAAGGCCCUGCUUUUGUGGGGUGCUCGAGUGGCGAACGGGUGAGUAACACGUGAGUAACCUGCCCUUGACUUUGGGAUAACUUCAGGAAACUGGGGCUAAUACCGGAUAGGAGCUCCUGCUGCAUGGUGGGGGUUGGAAAGUUUCGGCGGUUGGGGAUGGACUCGCGGCUUAUCAGCUUGUUGGUGGGGUAGUGGCUUACCAAGGCUUUGACGGGUAGCCGGCCUGAGAGGGUGACCGGCCACAUUGGGACUGCGAUACGGCCCAGACUCCUACGGGAGGCAGCAGUGGGGAAUAUUGCACAAUGGGCGGAAGCCUGAUGCAGCAACGCCGCGUUCGGGAUGACGGCUUUCGGGUUGUAAACCGCUUUCGCCUGUGACGAAGCGUGAGUGACGGUAAUGGGUAAAGAAGCACCGGCUAACUACGUG